Molecule: ribosomal RNA, 582 nt
Filed under: uncultured Pseudomonas sp.
Lineage: Bacteria; Pseudomonadati; Pseudomonadota; Gammaproteobacteria; Pseudomonadales; Pseudomonadaceae
Description: bacterial SSU rRNA
Rfam family: Bacterial small subunit ribosomal RNA
Source: RNAcentral
ACGGGUGAGUAAAGCCUAGGAAUCUGCCUGGUAGUGGGGGAUAACGUUCGGAAACGGACGCUAAUACCGCAUACGUCCUACGGGAGAAAGCAGGGGACCCUCGGGCCUUGCGCUAUCAGAUGAGCCUAGGUCGGAUUAGCUAGUUGGUGAGGUAAUGGCUCACCAAGGCGACGAUCCGUAACUGGUCUGAGAGGAUGAUCAGUCACACUGGAACUGAGACACGGUCCAGACUCCUACGGGAGGCAGCAGUGGGGAAUAUUGGACAAUGGGCGAAAGCCUGAUCCAGCCAUGCCGCGUGUGUGAAGAAGGUCUUCGGAUUGUAAAGCACUUUAAGUUGGGAGGAAGGGCAUUAACCUAAUACGUUAGUGUUUUGACGUUACCGACAGAAUAAGCACCGGCUAACUCUGUGCCAGCAGCCGCGGUAAUACAGAGGGUGCAAGCGUUAAUCGGAAUUACUGGGCGUAAAGCGCGCGUAGGUGGUUUGUUAAGUUGGAUGUGAAAUCCCCGGGCUCAACCUGGGAACUGCAUUCAAAACUGACUGACUAGAGUAUGGUAGAGGGUGGUGGAAUUUCCUGUGUAGCG